Folsomia candida is the source of this 1677-nucleotide long non-coding RNA. RefSeq lists it as uncharacterized. The record is from RefSeq and is a predicted model, not a curated record. The transcript is spliced from 2 exons. NCBI's taxonomy places the organism in Eukaryota, Metazoa, Arthropoda, Collembola, Entomobryomorpha, Isotomidae.
UCACCUGCCAGAUAAGACAAGGCAACAAUAACUGAAACUGCAUUACACAGCCUUUUACACAGAGAGGAACAGACUUUUAUUCUCAUAAUCAGCCACAUAAUACUAUUUCUUUUUUAUCUUAUCGUCUCACCCACAACCACUUUUCUAUCUUGUUCUCAAAUAAAUGCAGACAACACAGACUUAUGUAUUUGUUUAUUCUACUUGUACGUUUCGCAACGCAGACAGACGACAACGUGUCACUGGCCAAAUAUUUGCAUUUCUGUACACCAAGAAUUAACUUGGUAAAAACAAAUACUUACUAAUACGGUACAUCCUCCUGGAGAGCAAUUUGGAAACAUAAAAUUUGGGUAGGAAAUAAAGACCAAGUCAAAAGACCCAUUUAUAUAUUUAUGUGUGCAAGUAAAGACGAGAUAAAUUGCCGGCCUUGAACCUUGCCCUUGUAAAAUUGCGUUUUGAGAAGGAAUGAGCAAUAAAAGUUAUCGUGGUUGAGGGUAUUGCACCACCAUCACUACCCGACCGACCAGGAUGCCGAGAGAAAGGACCUCAGCCAGAAAGAGAAAGAAAUAAAGGGUGGUGCUAAAUGGAGUGGAGUUAACUAAUGAGUGCAAUAAUCUCGUAACGACAGUUUUGUGCAUGUACAGACAGAGAUGUGUAUGCAUGUGCAAACAAUGUGCACUCCUUGUAUGGAAAUGGACGAAUUUUACAUAUUUAAGUAGAUGUGAAUGCACAAUUCUGUCCAAUUGUAGAAUUUUGAAUUUAUAAAAAGUGAAAAAAAUACACAGUAUAAAGAAACAAGAAAUACCAUUACCAAGUUUGUGACGACCGGGUAAUGGGGUUCGUAGUAAAAGAAUAAAUUAGCAAUUUGGGGAGUGACUCAAGACGACAAUUGUCCUAUUCUUAUAAAGUUUCGCUUUACAGCAAAAAAAGAAACAUUCAACCCGAGUCAAACAAGUCAACCCGGCUUACACAUAUUUUAUACAAGGACUGGGCUGGCUUUUCUUUCUGUGGUUAAAUAUGUGAUGGAGGAGGUUGCUUUCUCGUGAUAGCGAUACAUACAAGAGAAAGGAAAGACAGACAAGAAGUAUUUUAUUUACGGGAAAAGUUGGGGAACAUAGAAUUGCAGAGAAAGCAUUUUUUUUAGGAAAUAGUCAUUUUUUUCAUCUGGUUUCGGUCUCUUACCAAAAAAACGAAGAAGGAAUCCAAAAUUCAUGAAAAAGUCCAUAUUGUGCAUUUCACAACAUUUCCGGUGAAAUCCGUAAAAAGGAGACGACGACAUAAAGCAAGAAAUAGUGUUUGACUAGACUUGACACGAUUUCCCGUAAAUAUUGAGCAGGAGGAGAGAAGAGUUGGAGAGGGUUGCGUGAGACGGUGACUGGAGCGUAGGAGCCAUCUGUCCAUCAACUGUGAGACGUGGAAAGAUGAGAAAAUUCUCAUCUCAUAAAGUCUCAAACCCUUCGUCUCACUUUUUGCUUUGCGUGUUUUACAGACAACUAAAUUGAAAUUUUGAUAACAAUUUUAAUCAUUCACCUUAUUUCUUCUCCCGUUAAUUUAGCAAGACAAAAACUAAAUAAACGGAACAGUAUAAAUAAUACAAGUAGAAUCACAAUUCAUCAAGCUUACGGUUUCGUUGUUUGACCAAUAUUGCUUAAAAUCAAUAAAGUAAGAGUAUGAGUUGUA